RNAcentral lists this ribosomal RNA (253 nucleotides) under uncultured bacterium. Its description in RNAcentral is "partial 16S ribosomal RNA". It matches the Rfam family "Bacterial small subunit ribosomal RNA", at positions 524 to 776 of the family's 1533-position model. The record is from RNAcentral.
UACGUAUGGUGCAAGCGUUAUCCGGAUUUACUGGGUGUAAAGGGAGCGCAGGCGGCACGGCAAGUCCGGUGUGAAAGCCCGGGGCCCAACCCCGGGACUGCACUGGAAACUGCCGGGCUGGAGUGUCGGAGGGGCAGGCGGAAUUCCUGGUGUAGCGGUGAAAUGCGUAGAUAUCAGGAGGAACACCGGUGGCGAAGGCGGCCUGCUGGACGAUGACUGACGCUGAGGCUCGAAAGCGUGGGGAGCAAACAGG